CGGCGGACGGGUGCGUAACACGUAGGAAUCUGCCCGGUAGUGGGGGAUAGCCCGGAGAAAUCCGGAUUAAUACCGCAUACGCCCUAAGGGGGAAAGGUGGCCUCUUCUUGAAAGCUACCACUAUUAGAUGAGCCUGCGUCGGAUUAGUUUGUUGGUGGGGUAAUGGCCUACCAAGGCGACGAUCCGUAGCUGGUCUGAGAGGAUGAUCAGCCACACUGGGACUGAGACACGGCCCAGACUCCUACGGGAGGCAGCAGUGGGGAAUAUUGCACAAUGGGCGCAAGCCUGAUGCAGCCAUGCCGCGUGUGUGAAGAAGGCUCUAGGGUUGUAAAGCACUUUCAGCGAGGAGGAAAGGGAUAAGGUUAAUACCCUUGUUCUGUGACGUUACUCGCAGAAGAAGCACCGGCUAACUCCGUGCCAGCAGCCGCGGUAAU
This 434-nucleotide ribosomal RNA is filed under the name uncultured bacterium. Its description in RNAcentral is "bacterial SSU rRNA". It matches the Rfam family "Bacterial small subunit ribosomal RNA", at positions 96 to 524 of the family's 1533-position model. The record is from RNAcentral.